UACGAAGGGGGCUAGCGUUGCUCGGAAUCACUGGGCGUAAAGCGCACGUAGGCGGAUCUUUAAGUCAGGGGUGAAAUCCCAAGGCUCAACCUUGGGACUGCCUUUGAUACUGGGGAUCUCGAGUCCGGAAGAGGUGAGUGGAACUGCGAGUGUAGAGGUGAAAUUCGUAGAUAUUCGCAAGAACACCAGUGGCGAAGGCGGCUUAC
Molecule: ribosomal RNA, 206 nt
Filed under: uncultured bacterium
Lineage: Bacteria
Description: partial 16S ribosomal RNA
Rfam family: Bacterial small subunit ribosomal RNA
Source: RNAcentral